CAAGGAAUUUUCCCCAAUGGGCGCAAGCCUGAGGGAGCAACGCCGCGUGCAGGACGACGGCCUUCGGGUUGUAAACUGCUUUUGCGUGGGACGAUAACGACGGUACCACGCGAAUCAGCCCCGGCUAACUCUGUGCCAGCAGCCGCGGUAAUACAGAGGGGGCAAGCGUUGUUCGGAUUUACUGGGCGUAAAGGGCGCGUAGGCGGACGGUCAAGUCAGAGGUGAAAGGCCCGGGCUCAACCUGGGACGUGCCUUUGAAACUGAUUGUCUUGAGUGCGGAAGAGGGUGACGGAAUUCCCAGUGUAGAGGUGAAAUUCGUAGAUAUUGGGAAGAACACCGGUGGCGAAGGCGGUCACCUGGUCCGCAACUGACGCUGAGGCGCGAAAGCGUGGGGAGCAAACAGGAUUAGAUACCCCCGUAGUCC
This 424-nucleotide ribosomal RNA is filed under the name uncultured prokaryote. Its description in RNAcentral is "bacterial SSU rRNA". It matches the Rfam family "Bacterial small subunit ribosomal RNA", at positions 355 to 796 of the family's 1533-position model. The record is from RNAcentral.